RNAcentral lists this ribosomal RNA (251 nucleotides) under uncultured prokaryote. RNAcentral's name for it is "partial 16S rRNA". It matches the Rfam family "Bacterial small subunit ribosomal RNA", at positions 525 to 775 of the family's 1533-position model. The record is from RNAcentral.
ACGGAGGAUGCGAGCGUUAUCCGGAUUUAUUGGGUUUAAAGGGUGCGUAGGCGGAUUAAUAAGUCAGUGGUGAAAUCCUGCAGCUUAACUGAGGAACUGCCAUUGAUACUGUUAGUCUUGAGUAUGGUCAAGGUAGGCGGAAUGCGUAAUGUAGCGGUGAAAUCCUUAGAUAUUACGCAGAACACCGAUUGCGAAGGCGGCUAACUGGGCCAUAACUGACGCUGAUUCGCGAAAGCGUGGGGAGCGAACAG